AUUAUUAUUAUUAUUAUUAAAUAAUUUUUAUUUAUACCACGUUGACUAUAAAAUAGUGUGUAAUCCUUCUAUAAAAUCGAUAUUUUCCUUAUUUAAAUUAGGCUUUCGUGUGUACGAAAUUCUUAAAUAUAUUUAAUCUACCACAUUAACUAUAAAUUAAAGUCAAUUAAAUUAUUUUAUAACAAUAUAUUCAUAAAUAAAUAUAUAAUAUAAUUUUUAAUUAUUUUUAUACUUAUAUAAUUAUAGAUGUUAGUUAAAUUUAUAAUUAAUGGAAUAGAUUGAAUUUAUUUAAAAAUCUUUUUAAAGUCUUAUAUAUUUUCUAUGUUUG
This 328-nucleotide unclassified non-coding RNA is filed under the name Hevea brasiliensis (rubber tree). Lineage: Eukaryota; Viridiplantae; Streptophyta; Magnoliopsida; Malpighiales; Euphorbiaceae. The record is from RNAcentral.